Molecule: transfer RNA, 61 nt
Filed under: Ochthebius puncticollis
Lineage: Eukaryota; Metazoa; Arthropoda; Insecta; Coleoptera; Hydraenidae
Description: tRNA-Cys
Source: RNAcentral
AGUCUUAUAUUCAACAAUGAUUUUAAAUUGCAAAUUUAAAGGAGGAUUAACCCUAAGGCUU